Molecule: ribosomal RNA, 153 nt
Filed under: Trebouxia sp. P-174-IIadA
Lineage: Eukaryota; Viridiplantae; Chlorophyta; Trebouxiophyceae; Trebouxiales; Trebouxiaceae
Description: 5.8S ribosomal RNA
Rfam family: 5.8S ribosomal RNA
About the family: 5.8S ribosomal RNA (5.8S rRNA) is a component of the large subunit of the eukaryotic ribosome. It is transcribed by RNA polymerase I as part of the 45S precursor that also contains 18S and 28S rRNA. Functionally, it is thought that 5.8S rRNA may be involved in ribosome translocation.
Source: RNAcentral
AACUCUCAACAACGGAUAUCUUGGCUCCCGUAACGAUGAAGAACGCAGCGAAAUGCGAUACGUAGUGUGAAUUGCAGAAUUCCGUGACCCAUCGAAUCUUUGAACGCAAAUUGCGCUCGAGGCUUCGGCCAAGAGCAUGUCUGCCUCAGCGUC